AUGACCACGAUGAUCGCAGCUAGCUCCAUAGUGAAAGCCAACCUUCCUUGCUCGUCAAGGAUAUCCUCCUGCUCAGACUUCUCAUCUGGUCAUUUGUGGCGCCCAUUAGAAGCUGCAAAACAUUACCGAGCGCAUGGUGUGCGCUCGCUGCGGGUAACAUGUGCUGCCACUAAGACUGCGAAAUCUCCAGCUGAAGAGGAAUGGAAGAUCAAACGGCAAUUCCUAUUAGAGAAGCGGGUACGUAGUGUUGAUGUGAAGGAAGCACUGCGCCUUCAAAACGAAAACAACUUUGUAAUUCUCGAUGUCAGACCAGAAGCAGAGUUCAAACAGGCUCACCCACCUGGUGCUGUUAAUGUACAAAUAUACAGAUUAAUAAAGGAGUGGACAGCAUGGGAUAUUGCAAGGAGGGCAGCAUUUGCUUUCUUUGGCAUAUUUGCAGGAACAGAAGAGAAUCCUGAGUUUAUAAAAAGCGUUGAAGAAAAACUUAAUAAAGAUUCAAAGAUAAUUGUAGCAUGUUCAGCAGGAGGAACAAUGAAGCCAACACAGAAUCUACCUGAUGGGAAGCAAUCUAGGUCUCUGAUAGCGGCGUAUCUGCUGGUCCUAAACGGCUACAAGAACGUGUUCCAUCUGGACGGAGGGCUCUACACAUGGUUCAAGGAAGAUCUACCUUCUGAAGGAGAAGAAGAUUGA
This 690-nucleotide ribosomal RNA is filed under the name Triticum aestivum (bread wheat). RNAcentral describes it as "partial small subunit ribosomal RNA". Lineage: Eukaryota; Viridiplantae; Streptophyta; Magnoliopsida; Poales; Poaceae. The record is from RNAcentral.